RNAcentral lists this ribosomal RNA (251 nucleotides) under uncultured prokaryote. Its description in RNAcentral is "partial 16S rRNA". It matches the Rfam family "Bacterial small subunit ribosomal RNA", at positions 525 to 775 of the family's 1533-position model. The record is from RNAcentral.
ACGUAGGUGGCGAGCGUUGUCCGGAAUUACUGGGUGUAAAGGGAGCGCAGGCGGGGAGACAAGUCAGCUGUGAAAACUAUGGGCUUAACCCAUAAACUGCAGUUGAAACUGUUUUUCUUGAGUGGAGUAGAGGUAGGCGGAAUUCCGAGUGUAGCGGUGAAAGGCGUAGAUAGUCGGAGGAACACCGGUGGCGAGGGCGGCCUACAGGACUCUAACUGACGCUGAGGCUCGAAAGUGUGGGGAGCAAACAG